CCUGCCCACUGAAAUUUUUUAAAUGGCCGCAGUAAUUUGACUGUGCAAAGGUAGCAUAAUCAUUAGUUUUUUAAUUAAAAGCUUGUAUGAAUGGUUGGACAAGGUAAAUUCUGUCUUUAUUUAAAUAAAAUUAGAAUUUAAUUUUUAAGUUAAAAAGCUUAAAUAUAUAUAAAAGACGAGAAGACCCUAUAGAUCUUUAUAUUAUUAUAUUAUAAUUUUAAUAAGGAAUUUUUAAUUUUUUAUAUUAUAUAAUAUUUUAUUGGGGUAAUAAAAAGAUUAAGUUAAUUCUUUUUGAUAUUUUACAUUGAUUUAUGAAUUUUAAUGAUCCAAAUUUUUUGAUUAUAAGAUUAAGUUACCUUAGGGAUAACAGCGUAAUUUUUUUAGAGAGUUCAUAUCGAUAAAAAAGUUUGCGACCUCGAUGUUGGAUUAAAAGUUAUUUUAGGCGCAGAAGUUUAAAAAUUUGGUCUGUUCGACCAUUAAAUUUUUACAUGAUCUGAGUUCAGACCGGUGUAAGCCAGGUCGGUUUCUAUCUUUAUAGAUUUUAUAGUAUUUUAGUACGAAAGGACCAAAUAUUUAAUAUAUUAAUAUUUAUAUUUUGAAUAUUAUUAAU
RNAcentral lists this ribosomal RNA (610 nucleotides) under Papuadytes commatifer. RNAcentral's name for it is "partial 16S ribosomal RNA". It matches the Rfam family "Bacterial large subunit ribosomal RNA", at positions 1858 to 2760 of the family's 2925-position model. Lineage: Eukaryota; Metazoa; Arthropoda; Insecta; Coleoptera; Dytiscidae. The record is from RNAcentral.